GACGAACGCUGGCGGCGUGCUUAACACAUGCAAGUCGAACGGAAAGGCCCCUUUGGGGGUACUCGAGUGGCGAACGGGUGAGUAACACGUGAGUAACCUGCCCUUGACUUCGGGAUAACUUCAGGAAACUGGGGCUAAUACCGGAUAGGAAUCCUUGCUGCAUGGUGGGGGUUGGAAAGCUUCGGCGGUUUUGGAUGGACUCGCGGCUUAUCAGCUUGUUGGUGGGGUAGUGGCUUACCAAGGCUUUGGCGGGUAGCCGGCCUGAGAGGGCGACCGGCCACAUUGGGACUGGGAUACGGCCCAGACUCCUACGGGGGGCAGCAGUGGGGAAUAUUGCACAAUGGGCGGAAGCCUGAUGCAGCAACGCCGCGGGCGGGAUGACGGCCUUCGGGUUGUAAACCGCUUUCAGCAGGGGCGAAGCUUGUGGUGACGGUACCUGCAGAAGAAGCACCGGCUAACUACGUG
RNAcentral lists this ribosomal RNA (465 nucleotides) under uncultured bacterium. Its description in RNAcentral is "partial 16S ribosomal RNA". It matches the Rfam family "Bacterial small subunit ribosomal RNA", at positions 28 to 507 of the family's 1533-position model. The record is from RNAcentral.